This is a long non-coding RNA of Hemiscyllium ocellatum (epaulette shark), 1135 nucleotides long. RefSeq lists it as uncharacterized. The record is from RefSeq and is a predicted model, not a curated record. The transcript is spliced from 5 exons. Lineage: Eukaryota; Metazoa; Chordata; Chondrichthyes; Orectolobiformes; Hemiscylliidae.
GAUUACCCUCGCGCGCGGCGCAGAGUCGCUGUAAUGAGUGCUCGUGAAGUUUUGUUGAGAAAGGAUACGAUUCCACCGUCUGCCGAGCUGGGAUUCGAACAAGCACUUCAGUUGUACAUUUUAAUAUUCUGGAUAAAAGUUAAAUACAUUAGGAUACUACAGGUGGACAUUCAGAUGGUAAUCUCAGUCAUUGUAACACCAAACUCUGAUUGAAUUAGUCAGUUCAUCGGGACCUGGAUAUUCGCAUUGUGUAGGAGGACGUGCUGGGUGUCAUGGAACCCGUAAAGCUUGGUUAAUCCCCAGCACCUGAUCAUGUGUACCCUAGGACUCUGUGGGAAGCUGGGAAUGUGAUUGCUGGACCUCUUGCUGAGAUAUUUGUAUCAACGAUUAUCACAGGGGGCUAGAUGGUGAAGAUUUGCAGUCUGAAAUCUCAAAAUCAUGUGCAGAUUGUGAUUAAGUUAACCAGCAUUUGAAGGACCAAAGAUAGAGAAUCACUCGGCCAAAAUCCUGCACACUCGCCUCUCAGCAUUGUCGGUCUAUCUGCGCCAAAUGGACUGUGAAUGGUUCAAGACAGCAGCUCACUACCAUCUUCUCCAGGGUAACUAGAGAUGGGGAAUAAAUGCUGGCUGAGCCAGUGAGGCCCAUAUCCUGGAAAUGGUUUCUAUCUCUAGUUGCUGAAACCCAGUUGAUGUUACUGCAGGAUGAUGAGGGAUGCUGAGUGCAUCCUCCAGGAGGCAGCACCAUCACAUUACCCCCGCCUACACGCACACAGUAACACCGCAACGUCACUGGAACAAAAGGCAGUGAAACCAAAGGGGAACUUAGAUAUAGUUCUUCGAGGUAAGGUCAUGAAAGGGGAUUGGAGCACAGCAGGAACAGGAGACUGAGCUGGAUGGUCAGCUGUUUCCCAUUGAAUGGUGGAGCAGGACUGAAAGGCUGAAUGGUUUCCUCCUCCUGCUAUCUCCCAGGUAUGUAUAUAGCCAUGGAGCCCAGGUAGGAAGGAGUGGGCAGGGAUUCUCCAGGAGAUUGCACUUCCACAACAGGUUUCAGUGAGGGCUGGUUUGAUGGAUUUUAUUUAACAUUUAUCUUUAACACAACGUUUGUACAUUUUGGUUUUAAAAUAUUUUAAAAGUUU